CCCUCUCUCCUCUUUUCCCUUUCUUCUCUUUCCUUUUUUCAAUUAUAUGAUUCUAACUGAUUUUUUUCCCUUGUUAGAAUUGGUCUGGAUAUGAAGCUACUAAACGCAUGAGACACAGAAAUCAUCUUAAUUGGUAAGCUCCAAUAUUUCCCUAAAGUUUUACAGCUUUCUUUAUUUAAAAAGAAAGACAUUUUUCCUGCUAAGAUUUGUUAAUCUUUCGAUUAAUAACCCAUAGGUCUGAAAUUCUAUUCUUCCAUCUCCUUCUUUGAGCGAACAAAGAAAACCGUAGUAAAAUCUUCAUCCAAAAGCAGCGAAAGUCGGAAGUAUUUAUAAACCCAGAGAUCUGCUGUUUUUUAUUUUCUUGUUGAGUAUGCUUCUGAGUUUGU
Molecule: long non-coding RNA, 386 nt
Filed under: Coffea arabica (coffee)
Lineage: Eukaryota; Viridiplantae; Streptophyta; Magnoliopsida; Gentianales; Rubiaceae
Description: long non-coding RNA (CARA_LNC000094)
Source: RNAcentral